Molecule: ribosomal RNA, 673 nt
Filed under: uncultured bacterium
Lineage: Bacteria
Description: bacterial SSU rRNA
Rfam family: Bacterial small subunit ribosomal RNA
Source: RNAcentral
UCAGAACGAACGCUGGCGGCAGGCUUAACACAUGCAAGUCGAACGAGCCUUCGGGCUUAGUGGCGGACGGGUGAGUAACGCGUGGGAACGUGCCCCUUGGUACGGAAUAGUCCCGGGAAACUGGGUUUAAUACCGUAUAUUCUCUGCGGAGGAAAGAUUUAUCGCCAAGGGAUCGGCCCGCGUUGGAUUAGGUAGUUGGUGGGGUAAUGGCCUACCAAGCCCGCGAUCCAUAGCUGGUUUGAGAGGAUGAUCAGCCACACUGGGACUGAGACACGGCCCAGACUCCUACGGGAGGCAGCAGUGGGGAAUCUUAGACAAUGGGGGAAACCCUGAUCUAGCCAUGCCGCGUGAGCGAUGAAGGCCUUAGGGUUGUAAAGCUCUUUCGCUGGGGAAGAUAAUGACGGUACCCAGUAAAGAAGCCCCGGCUAACUCCGUGCCAGCAGCCGCGGUAAUACGGAGGGGGCUAGCGUUGUUCGGAAUUACUGGGCGUAAAGCGCGCGUAGGCGGAUUGGAAAGUUGGGGGUGAAAUCCCGGGGCUCAACCCCGGAACUGCCUCCAAAACUAUCAGUCUGGAGUUCGAGAGAGGUGAGUGGAAUUGCGAGUGUAGAGGUGAAAUUCGUAGAUAUUCGCAGGAACACCAGUGGCGAAAGCGGCUCACUGGCUCGAUACUGAC